Molecule: long non-coding RNA, 4188 nt
Filed under: Vitis vinifera (wine grape)
Lineage: Eukaryota; Viridiplantae; Streptophyta; Magnoliopsida; Vitales; Vitaceae
Description: long non-coding RNA (VVIN_LNC002190)
Source: RNAcentral
GGAGCAGUGGAAUUCUGAAAGAUCGGAGUUUUGAGUUCAUUCAAACUCACCAUAACAUCUACUAUUUCAUCAGUGUUUGUAAUGACAACGAGAUCUACUUCAGCUAUUCAGUUCAAGACGGAGCUAUUUCAAAGUGGGUAUUGAACUGGAGAGGGGGAUUUUUUGACACUUACGGAACUCUAUUCGUGAAGGAAGACAUGUGUGAUCGUUAUGGCAAAUAUCCAGGGUGUGCAGUGCAAGAGCCACCCACUUGCAGGACUAGAGACUUCCAAUUCAUGAAGCAAUCGGUUCUCAAUUCAGGAUAUCCAUCAUUAAUGAACAUAGAUACGAGCUUGGGCCUUAGUGAUUGUCAGGCUAUAUGCAGGAACAAUUGUUCUUGUACUGCUUGUAAUACUGUAUUCACCAAUGGAACUGGAUGUCAGUUUUGGAGGGAUGAAUUGCCACGAGCCCAAGUGGGUGAUGCAAAUCAGGAGGAGCUCUACGUUUUGUCCUCAUCAGAAGACAUAGGUAAGAGGCUCUAUGUAUUGCAUUCCGAGAAGUAGCCAAAACAAAGUACUUGGUAAAUCUCACAUCUUCAUCGAAUUUACAAUCCUACAAAAAAAGUCCUACUGUAUAAUCGUCUACCAUUAGAGGACCUAUAGCAAAACCAUUAAAGACCCUCUCUCUCUCUCUCUCUCUCUCUCUCGUUCUGCUCUAACAAUAAAAUUUAUUAACUUCUACCUAUGCAGGGAAGCCUUGGUGGAUAUGGAUUAUCAUUCUCGUUGUAGUAGUAUUUCUGUUCAUGUUAGCUGUCUUUUGUUGUUCACAGAGAAACUCCAGAGGUAGUAUUUUAACUUUUGUAGAUAAUAGCAAUGCCAUUUGUUAAUGGGUUGGAUAAUUGGACUUGUGGCUUCUGGUAUAACAGGGAGAGUAAGGAGAGAAGUUCAGUUACAUGAAGUUGGGCCUUCUGGUACAACAGGGGAUAGAGAGGGGAAGAAAGGUCAGCCACGUGAUGUUGUGGUUCCUGGUGGUAAAACAGCGGAUAAAAAAAAGAAGAAAGUUACGUUCCUGUUGCGUACAGACGAGUGACGAGAGGCCUGAAAUCUCAGAUGUUUGCUCCAUGCUUAACAGCAAAACUGGGGACCUACCCAACCCAAAUCCACCCCCAUUUUGCACUUAAGGCGAGCCAGGGAGUUGUUCUGCUCUGCUACUUGAGAGAUGGAAGGCGGGUCAAGAUGAGAUGAGAAUUUGAUUCCCUCGUUGUAAGCUUUUCUUUAUUUACGUUUUGUUAAUUUAUAAUAAGAUGACAACUGAACUGAAGCUAGUUUUGUGAUCAUUUGGAACAUAUUUGUACCCAUGUAUUCUGGAGCUCUAUUUGCCCUUUUGCUCUCCAAAACAUCUUAUGAUAUACGUCUAUCUAUAUCCAUCUCAGCCAAAGUAGGCCAUAUAUAUGUUCUAUAAUUCAUUAUUUGCCAUUGAAUAGAUGAUCAAAACACAAGGUGGCAACAGUGUGCAUGUGAUUUAUGUCUUACAGUCAAGAGGAAAUCUACUCACAGUAAAAUUAUUCAAACAUUACUUAACAUCAACUAAGCAGACUAAAACAUAGAAACAUGAUUUAUAACAUUUGUCACCCGUCACAGAAAGAUAAAUGUCUUCAUGAGGAUGCAUAAUAUAAAUAGCUUGAAGGUUGCUUCCCAAACUUUUAAUACCAGAGCAUGCAUCUAAGCAACAAGCAGAAAACAUCAUCCUAGCCACUCAACAGGCCAGAUUAUCAAUGAAAUCUGAAACUGAGAACCUCGUAGGUAUAACAUCCUUCAACCAGUUAUACUAGGACCUCAAAACCCUUUAUGCAAAUCAAAAGGUUUCAGUUGAUUAUACAUUAUUUUCCUAAACUUCAAUACAUGGGAUAUUCAAAUUAUUAUUUAUGCUAAGGUCUAGUUGUCCAUUUUUGGACAGAUAUGUUCAUAUACAGAGAGAAAGAAAGGGAAAUAAAAACGAAGCCUGUUGAACGUCCUUCCACCCGGUCACCUUAUACAAAGAAGAAACUUGGAUUCAAACAAGUCUUUUGAGUUACAACUUAUACGCAAUGAUCCAAAGUGAUUUUCUGAUUUAUUUUAUUUUAUUUUACUAACAUUACUAUAGAAGGAAAAGUUUUAAUUUUACAUCCAUUCAAUCUUACCAAAUAAAUUUUUAUUUUCAAAUUUACUAAUAAUGGAAAAGAAUUGAUUUAGUAUUUAUCAACUUUACAAUUAAUUUGUAAAACAAAUUAUGUCAUUAUCAAUAUGAAUUUAUAAAAGAUUAAUGUAUCAAAUACAAAUAAAAUGAAUAAAUAAAAUUUCAAUUCAGUAUUUAAUAAUUUACAAUUAAAAUUCAAAUUCCUCUCUCAUUUUGUAAAUUGAACUAUAAAUGUAGAUUGACAAGUUAAAAAAUAAAAAUAAAAAUUAAAUAAACAAAUAGAAGUAAAAUAAAAGUAAAAACAGAAAUAAAUAAACAUAUUUGGGCUAAGAGUGAGUGGACCUACUCUCUAUCCGAGGAAAUAUAAAUGGGCUUAAAAUUGGCUCAAAGUGAAUGUUGAAGAAUGAAUGUGCCUAUGAUGUCCUUAGUUAGGAUAAAUUUGGGUUCCAUAGAGUAUGUUUGCUUCCCCAAAGUUUGGGGGAAAAUGCAAGGCCAAAAAAAUAAAGAAGAAAAAUGAGAGAAAAUAAAAUAAAAUGAAAAUAAUUUUAAAAUUAAUAAAUUAUUUUUAUAUCUUAUUUCAAAUUCAAUUUAUUUAUAUGUAUUUUAUAUAAAGAUUAAAUAAUUUAAAAAUAUGGAAAUUUCUUACUAAUUUUUAUUACAUUUGACUUUUUUUUUUAUUAUUAACCAAACAUAAAAAAAUAAAAAAAAUAAAAAAUUACAUUUUUAAUAUUAUUUUUUUUUCUUAGUGUUUUUUGAACCACACAUAGUUUUAGUAUAAUGCAUAUAUUCUUACAUAAACAGUUGUCUUAUUUUAAAAUUUUUAUACGAGGUGUCAAUGUAAAAAUUUUUAAUGGCAAUACCUUUUACCAAGUUGAGCUGCAAGACCCAACAUUGGAGGGGGAGCAUUCUGAUUGUGAGGGGGUUACCUUACCGAGGUCGGCAUUGUAAGAUUCAGUACACUUGACGGGACACCAUUGCCAACACCAAAGGUCCACCCUUCGGUGAUGCUCAAUUUUUAGCAACCUCAAGUAAGUAAAUCCUAAAUCAUGCCCUCAUCCUUUGGUAGUUUCUCCUCUUAUUUGCGAAUGGGGUCAGGGGUUGGGUUUUUUCUUCUUUAUCUUGUCAUGUGUCUGUUUGGGAGGGCCUUGCUCUUGUAGUGCACAAAGAGACAGCAUCAAACCUGGGGAAAGGAUUCAAUUCACGAAGCUACUGGUUUCGGCACAAAGGACUUUCACACUGGGGUUCUUUAGCUUGGACACCCGCAGUUAUUUAGGAAUCUGGUACACAAGUGAUGUUGACAACAAGAAAGUUUGGGUUGCUAACAGAGACAACCCUAUAUCUGGCACCAAUGCAAAUCUCAUGCUGGAUGGCAAUGGCACAUUGAUGAUCAUUCAUAGUGGGGGUGAUCCAAUUGUCUUGAAUUCCAAUCAAGCAUCCGGAAACUCCAUAGCUACCUUGCUUGAUUCUGGAAAUUUUGUUGUGUCAGCGUUAAAUUCAGAUGGAUCUGCGAAGCAGACACUAUGGGAAAGUUUCGAUGAUCCUACAGACACGCUCCUGCCUGGGAUGAAACUAGGCAUCAACUUGAAAACCAGGCAAAACUGGUCACUUGCUUCGUGGAUAAACGAACAAGUGCCUGAUCCUGGGACUUUCACUCUAGAAUGGAAUGACACACAAUUGGUAACGAAACGCCGAGAAGACAUCUACUGGAGCAGUGGAAUUCUGAAAGAUCAGAGUUUUGAGUUCUUUCAAACUCACCAUAACAUCCACUUUUUCAUCAGUGUUUGUAAUGACAACGAGACCUACUUCAGCUAUUCAGUUCAAGACGGAGCUAUUUCAAAGUGGGUAUUGAACUGGAGAGGGGGAUUUUUUGACACUUACGGAACUCUAUUCGUGAAGGAAGAUAUGUGUGAUCGUUAUGGCAAAUAUCCAGGGUGUGCAGUGCAAGAGCCACCCACUUGCAGGACUAGAGACUUCCAAUUCAUGAAGCAAUCGGUUCUCAAUUCAGGAUAUCCAUCAUUAAUGAACAUAGAUACG